This 478-nucleotide ribosomal RNA is filed under the name uncultured bacterium. Its description in RNAcentral is "partial 16S ribosomal RNA". It matches the Rfam family "Bacterial small subunit ribosomal RNA", at positions 28 to 523 of the family's 1533-position model. The record is from RNAcentral.
GAUGAACGCUGACAGAAUGCUUAACACAUGCAAGUCUACUUGAUUCUACUUCGGUAGUUGAUGGUGGCGGACGGGUGAGUAACGCGUAAAGAAUCUGCCCUUUAGUUUGGGAUAACCUUUGGAAACGAAGGCUAAUACCGGAUAUUAUGGAGACGUCGCAUGGCGACUCCAUGAAAGCUAUAUGCGCUAGAGGAGGACUUUGCGUCCCAUUAGUUAGUUGGUGAGGUAAUGGCUCACCAAGACCGCGAUGGGUAGCCGGCCUGAGAGGGUGAUCGGCCGCAAGGGAACUGAGACACGGUCCUUACUCCUACGGGAGGCAGCAGUGGGGAAUAUUGGUCAAUGGGCCACAAGCCUGAUCCAGCAAUUCCGUGUGCACGAUGAAGGUCUUCGGAUUGUAAAGUGCUUUCAGUAGGGAAGAAAAAAAUGACGGUACCUACGGAAGAAGCGACGGCUAAAUAUGUGCCAGCCGCCGCCGUAA